This 4642-nucleotide unclassified non-coding RNA is filed under the name Leishmania donovani. Its description in RNAcentral is "gene:LdHU3.18.1670(CDS-product:cholinephosphate_c ytidylyltransferase_A_putative)". Lineage: Eukaryota; Euglenozoa; Kinetoplastea; Trypanosomatida; Trypanosomatidae. The record is from RNAcentral.
UUAGUGAUCAAGCGAGCUGCGGCCACGGACAUCGCAGCAGAAAGCGGCACGGCGAAUGCCGCUUGCUUGAAUGCAGCAACAACGAUCAAGUUCCACACAUACAAGGUAGACACACCACCUUCUUUCUCCUCUCGUGCCUUGUAGCCUUGAGACACGACAGCACCUACCCUUUGUUUUUUCUUCCUCGCUUCCUAUCCAUCGACAACACACGCGUACACACGCGAGUCUGCCAUGUCGCAUCUGCUUGAGCACAGCUUCCUCUUUACCACAGAGGAGCGACAACUCAUCUACCAUGCCAACAGCGACGUCAACACCCGCCCCGUGAGCUUCGUCACUCGCAUUUUUUACCCGAUCUGGAUUCGUAUCAGCACGCAUCUGCUCAGCGAUCUCGUGGCGCCGAACGCCAUCACAUUGGCAGGGCUUCUUAGCAGCAUGCAGGCGUACCAGCUCAUUAACACGUACUACCAUUUUGGCGAUCAGCAGCACGGCCCGCACGCGGUGCUGUGCGACGUGAAGUCGUCGUUGCAGGCGUUUGGACUCCGUGGCGCCGGCCAGGUACCCCUCGCAGCUGAGAAGACUGUCGUGGGAGAGAUGGCCUCUGCCUACAAAGCCGGGCCAGGCGCUGCGGCCAAGACGGCCAAGGCCAUGGGUGCCGCCGCUGCCGCCGCUGCCACAAGUGCUGCGAGCGGUCAAAUCUUAAAGCCUCCAGAGACCGACUAUGUGGACUUUUUCCAUACUGACCGCACGGUGCAGACGGCCACGGUUCUGGCAAUUCUUCUCCUGGUCAUCUCUAUCACGUGCGGCUCUUUGGACGGCGUGCACGCGCGGCGCUGUCGCAGCGCCACCAGCCUGGGCGACAUCUUCUCCCGCAUCUGCUCCUCCAUGGCGCGCGUCUUUAUGGCGCUAACGCUGCUGGAGGUGUUUCAAAUCGAGGACGUGUGCACGAAGUGGUACUUCCUGCUCGCCCUGCAGCUGAUUGAGCUGAAUACGGUGCUUGGCCGCAUCAACGCGUCGAACUUGAAGAAGGACCGCGUGAAGAAUGUGGCGUACGUUGCGACGUACUGCUUCCGUGAAUCGGAGUUGUCGUUCCUCAUGGUGUUGCUCCUCAUCGCCCGUUGGUUCUACCCUACCGCGUGCCGCGACAUCCUCGGCGUCAUCUUGGCGAAGGCGCAGGUGGGCUACAACACCCUCGUCGUCGCCACCUUUGUGAGCAUUGCGCUUCUCAAGAUGAAGAAGCUGUACAAGGGGAUUAUUUUGCUCUGCCUCGCCGCCCGUGUGCUGCCGCUCUUCUACCUCUUGCCGCUAAGCCAGUACAGCUUGCUGAGCGUCAUUGGCGAUGCCAUGAUUGUAGGACUGCUGUCCAUCGAGGUGUACGUCAGCCACCUCGCCCAGCGCCGCAUCCACGCCGCAGUUUUUUUCCUUUGCCUCGGCUCGCUGCUGAACGACGUGCUCUCUGUGGCCGGGUCUAUAAUGUACUUGAUUGCCAUGCUGGUGGACUUGUCGUACUCGCUGAACGUACCGCUUUUCACGCCUGUGCGUAACGUGUUCAUCGACGGUGUCUUCGACCUCUGCCACGCCGGACACAAGAAGCUGAUGGCUAAUGCUCUCAAGUUCGGCAACCGUCUCAUCGUUGGCGUCUGCGGCGACGAGGAGUGCGCCUCAUACAAACGUCCGCCGAUCAUGACCACCGAAGAGCGUAUCAAUGAGGUGCGCCUGUGCAAGUACGUCUCAGAAGUGAUUCCCAACUCACCAGUGACGGGCAUCACGGCGGAGAUGAUCCGGUACUACAAUAUACACGUAGUUGUCUGUGGCGAGGAGUACAACACUCCGACAGACACGUACUACGCGGUACCGCGCCGCAUGGGCAUCCUGCGCACAGUGCCAAGAACUCCCGGCAUCUCCACCAGCGUUCUCAUCUCGCGCAUCCGUGCCGCCAGUGACAGCUCUAUAAAGGCAAAGGACAGGAAGAGUGACGUGCCAACGGUGAAGGACGGGGCAUAAGUGGAGAUGCUGACGUCUUCUUCUUGUGUGCAAGCUGCUGGGCCCUGUGUCUUUGGCGGACGCCCUUCUGCAGUCUGUAUCGGUGCUGAAUUCUCCGGUGAUAGCGUGUACGCACACUACGUCGAGGCGUUUUCACGAAUGCACGUGCGUGCACCCCCUCCUCUCUCGCUACUGCUUUCCUCUGCUCUUGGCCUUCCAAAGGGUGUCUGAAAGCAACCAUGAUAGGCGUGAGAAAUGUAUUUGUGGGCACGACAGUGCAUCGCCGUCGCUGAAGAACAAGGGGCUCGGCGGCGAUGACUACUGCGCAAGCACAAAUACAUCUCUCUCUCUCUCUCUGUGUGUGUGUGUGUGUGUGUGUGUGUGUGUGUGUGUGUGUGUGUGUGUGUGUGUGUGUGUGUGUGUGUGUGUGUGUGUGUGGUGUGUGUGUGUGUGUGUGUGUGUGUGUGUGUGUGUGUGUGUGUGUGUGUGUGUGUGUGUGUGUGUGUGUGUGUGUCGGCUUCGGUAAUGUGUGGACCUGCGCGCUCCUUCCGCUUUGUACCUUUUCUAGUUGUGGUGGCUCUCCCAAGGAAGGGCAGACGACAAGAAAAAAGAAGUCGGCGCGCGCCGUAUCACGCUUCUCGCCUGGAUGACCUUCACCCCUCCUUCCUUGUGCUCUUACGUGAUUGCCUUCUGUAUGCGUCUGCGACCGUCAUGAGCAAAAGACAGCUUUGUUUUGCGUAGCAAAGGUGUGCUGGUGGUGCUGUCACGGUCGUCUUCGCCGAUUCGGCUGCCCAUGUGUAUGCACACACACACACACACACACACGUGCAUACUUCUAUAUACAUAUAUAUGUAUAUGUAAACAUAAACACGCAGAUAUGUAUGCGUAUGCAUGCGUAUAUAUAUAUAUAUGUGCAAGUAUACACAUUUUGUGCUCGCGUUCAAGCAGUCGUGCACUUUCUCUGUUUGCCUGCGUAUUUUUUUUUUUGCUCCCUUCGCCUCUGGUCUCCUUUCACGUGUGAUUCUCCAGCCCUGUGCUUUCCGCCCUCCUCUUCCUCUGCCACUCUAUCUGUGCGAGUGUCUUUUUUGAUGGCGCACCUCUUGAGAAUACGCGUAAACUCGGGGCUCAGAUAUGUGUGCGUCUCUGCGUGCGCGGGCGUGUGUAGCCUUUUUUUUUAUGGUUAUUGCAUUUCUACCUUAUCGCGUAGUUAAUGGCAUUUCUUUAUCUAUGCUCAUGCCUAUCUUAUCGUUUUUGCUUUUUCUCUGCGUGGGUGCUUCAUCGGUCGCACGGUAGUCUUCGAUAUAUAUAUAUAUAUAUAUAUAUUUGUUUGUUUCUCUUUUCGAUCAUUGCUGUCGUGUGAAGCUGACGCACAUUUUGUGCUGAUACACGCACACACACGCACACAUGCAAGGCCAGGGUGAGAGAACAAGGGGAGGGGUAUGCAACCGCGCGCACAGAAACCGAGACGACAGGGGCAAGUAGUGGCUGCCUUGCAGUGGUGCUCAUAGUGAAGCCAUAGUCGGCGUCAAAGCACACGUCUGCACGGACAUACGCGCACAGAUGAGAGUGUCCGCUUCAUUCGAGUCGUCUGAGCUGCGCAUCUGAAACGCAAUACUUACGCAUAUGCAUCAAGCACACACAUAUGCGAUAUCAGCGGAAGGGCACACGCACACGCGCGCGCCAAGGAAACUAAAUGUACCGUGCAGACUUGAGCGGUAACGACGGGGGCGCUUAACAAUAAGUCGCGCGCCUUGAACACCUGUGCUUAGGUCAUUGUGCAUUCUUUAUGGGGGCCUUAGCGCUCACAACCGUCACUCUUGGCUUUUGUUGGGGUCCUCCGCGGCGAGGCCCUGCUGACGGGGGGACACCCCUCAGUGCAUGGCAUCCGCUGCCCGCUCUGUGUGCACGAAAGCCAAGCAGCCUCCCCCUAUCCCCUGCCAAUGCCGAACCACCUCUGGUGGUGCCACGGCUAAGCGCCUGCGACGUCGGGGAGUCAAAGCGCUUCAUCGCUGUUGAUGUCGGCGGUGAUGUCCUGGAUGGCACCGUGCCGGAGCGACCUGCGACGGUGAGCACGCUUGUGCCAUCCAUGUGCCGGCGACGUGUCGGCGUCGCUCGAACGCGUAUCCCACCCCCGGCCCACGCACUGCCUUACUGGCGUGAGGGGCCUGAGUGCCACCCCGAGGGGGAUGUACACCAGGUGUGGUGACCGGCAUGAUGGGGGAGCCGCUGUGAGGCGACCUGCGGAGCCGAGUGUGGGUAGAGUUCGAGCUCGAGGCCGAGGCCGAGGCCGUGCUCAGGUGGCUGAGUGGACGCAGUGCUGUAAGGCGCGUGCCCCCAGGGCUGCUUGGCACGACGCGAUGGUGCCUGCGACGGUCCCGGGGCGGGGUGUUGGGGGCCGAGUGGCGCUUGACCUCGUGCUGUACGGCAGCGACAUGGGCACGUUGAACGAAACCGGAAAAGUGGGCCGCACACAUACAGGCAAAGCAUAGAAAGAAAGCUGCGCAUCAUUGCGAGGUGCUCAGCGUUGCGUUUGGUGUCUCUUGCGUUUCUGCCGCUGCUUUAUAUCUCUCUCUUUCUGUGCGCCUGCGCUUCUAGCGUUCUCAUUCUUUUUCUUUCUAUUUCUGUCGCGCGCGCCGAGCCCAUUUUGGAGUGCUUCCAGCCG